This 253-nucleotide ribosomal RNA is filed under the name uncultured bacterium. RNAcentral describes it as "partial 16S ribosomal RNA". It matches the Rfam family "Bacterial small subunit ribosomal RNA", at positions 524 to 776 of the family's 1533-position model. The record is from RNAcentral.
UACGGGGGGAGCAAGCGUUGUUCGGAUUUACUGGGCGUAAAGGGCGCGUAGGCGGCGUGACAAGUCACUUGUGAAAUCUCCGGGCUUAACUCGGAACGGUCAAGUGAUACUGUCGUGCUAGAGUACAGAAGGGGCAACUGGAAUUCUCGGUGUAGCGGUGAAAUGCGUAGAUAUCGAGAGGAGCACCUGCGGCGAAGGCGGGUUGCUGGGCUGACACUGACGCUGAAGUGCGAAAGCUAGGGGAGCGAACGGG